Molecule: ribosomal RNA, 427 nt
Filed under: uncultured bacterium
Lineage: Bacteria
Description: bacterial SSU rRNA
Rfam family: Bacterial small subunit ribosomal RNA
Source: RNAcentral
UGGGGAAUUUUGGACAAUGGACGCAAGUCUGAUCCAGCCAUGCCGCGUGCGGGAAGAAGGCCUUCGGGUUGUAAACCGCUUUUGUCAGGGAAGAAACGAGUUUCUCUAAUACAGAGACUUAAUGACGGUACCUGAAGAAUAAGCACCGGCUAACUACGUGCCAGCAGCCGCGGUAAUACGUAGGGUGCGAGCGUUAAUCGGAAUUACUGGGCGUAAAGCGUGCGCAGGCGGUUAUAUAAGACAGAUGUGAAAUCCCCGGGCUCAACCUGGGAACUGCCUUUGUGACUGCAUAGCUAGAGUACGGUAGAGGGGGAUGGAAUUCCGCGUGUAGCAGUGAAAUGCGUAGAUAUGCGGAGGAACACCGAUGGCGAAGGCAAUCCCCUGGACCUGUACUGACGCUCAUGCACGAAAGCGAGGGGAGCAAACA